RNAcentral lists this transfer RNA (66 nucleotides) under Zootermopsis nevadensis. It matches the Rfam family "tRNA". From Rfam's summary of the family: Transfer RNA (tRNA) molecules are approximately 80 nucleotides in length. Their secondary structure includes four short double-helical elements and three loops (D, anti-codon, and T loops). The record is from Rfam by way of RNAcentral. Lineage: Eukaryota; Metazoa; Arthropoda; Insecta; Blattodea; Termopsidae.
AUUGUGGUCUAGCGGUUAGAACGCUGGCCUUGUAAUCCUGGGGUCUCGGGUUCGAUUCCCGGCGGU